Molecule: ribosomal RNA, 253 nt
Filed under: uncultured bacterium
Lineage: Bacteria
Description: partial 16S ribosomal RNA
Rfam family: Bacterial small subunit ribosomal RNA
Source: RNAcentral
UACGUAGGGUGCGAGCGUUAAUCGGAAUUACUGGGCGUAAAGUGUGCGCAGGCGGCCGAGCAAGUCGAGUGUGAAAGCCCCGAGCUUAACUUGGGAACUGCGCUCGAAACUACUUGGUUAGAGUGUGGCAGAGGGAGGUGGAAUUCCACGUGUAGCGGUGAAAUGCGUAGAGAUGUGGAGGAACACCGAUGGCGAAGGCAGCCUCCUGGGCCAACACUGACGCUCAUGCACGAAAGCGUGGGGAGCAAACAGG